CCUACGGGCGGCAGCAGUGGGGAAUAUUGGGCAAUGGGCGCAACCCUGACCCAGCCAUGCCGCGUGAGUGAAGAAGGCUUUCGGGUUGUAAACUUCUUUCCUCCGUGACGAUGAUGGUGAUGGUACCUGAGGAAUCAGCGGCGGCUAACUACGUGCCAGCAGCCGCGGUAAUACGUAGGGGGGCAGCGUUAUUCGGAUUUAUUGGGUGUAAGGGGGGUGUAGGCGGAUGUGUAAGUCAGUGGUGAAACGCCGGGGCUCAACCCCGGACCUGCAAUUGUUACUAUGUUUCUAGAGUGAUGGAGAGGAUAGCGGAAUACCGAGUGUAGAGGUGAAAGUCGUAGAUAUACGGUAGAACACCAGUGGCGAAGGCGGAUAGCUGGCCAUUAACUGACGCUGAGGCUCGAAAGCAUGGGGAGCAAACAGGAUUAGAUACCCUUGUAGUC
Molecule: ribosomal RNA, 443 nt
Filed under: uncultured bacterium
Lineage: Bacteria
Description: partial 16S ribosomal RNA
Rfam family: Bacterial small subunit ribosomal RNA
Source: RNAcentral